RNAcentral lists this unclassified non-coding RNA (2176 nucleotides) under uncultured fungus. RNAcentral describes it as "sequence contains 18S rRNA gene, ITS1, 5.8S rRNA gene, ITS2, 28S rRNA gene". The stretch from base 847 to 2176 matches the Rfam family "Eukaryotic large subunit ribosomal RNA", at positions 1 to 961 of the family's 3401-position model. The record is from RNAcentral. Lineage: Eukaryota; Fungi.
GGAAGGAUCAUUAACAAAUCCUAAACAACCUAUUAACCUUGAGGGACGACGGAAUGGGGAAACCCAUUCUGUUGUUUCUCAGGGCGACAAAUUCUGUUAAGGUCAGUUGUCCGUUGAAAGAUACGGUUUGUAACAAUUAUAACUUUAGAGAAACAUGUUAACAACCUCAAAACCUUUGGAUUCAGGUGUUAAUGGGCUCUUAAUUGAACUCGUUAACCCUGAAACCGAAACUACAUACGACUUCCAACAAUGGAUAUCUCGGCUCCCACUUCGAUGAAGAACGCAGCGAAAUGCGAAACGUAAUGCGAAUCGCAGAUAGCCGUGAGUCAUCGAAUCUUUGAAUGCAUCCUGCACCUCGGGAUCCGCAAGGACAACCCCAGGUACACUCGGAUGAGAGUGACAUAAGGCAUAUCAGGGGAUCUCGCUGCGGGACUGGGCCAAGUGCUCCUUUCCUGCGCUUGCUUCCUGAGCAAUUUUGCUCGAUAUACUGAUUGAUUGCGUCCAACUGAACCUCCUUUCGGGGAGGAAGAAGUUGGUCAAUCUAAAUGCCUGUUGGACCUCAUUCAAGGAUUGGUUGAGGAAAGAACAACACUUUGAAGAAGUACUCGGAUUGAUUUGGUAGAAACCGAACGCCUAGUAACUCAGACUUGCGAGCUUUCGGGCUUACAAAGCUGAUGAAAGGUUAAGGAAGUAAACUAGAUUGAACUGAGGAAACUUUAGAGUGCUUUCCGCCUGUAGACCGAUCUCUGAUGAACCAACUACCUUUCGGAAGUGUGCUCUCGGGCACACUUUAGAAAACUCUUUUCUGCUUCCUAUUAAUUUAGGAACAGGAAAACCUAACCAGCCUCACCUCAUCUCGAGUGGGAAUACCCGCUGAAUUGAAGCAUCUUAAUAAGCGGAGGAAAAGAAAACAACCGUGAUUCCCUUAGUAACGGCGAGUGAACAGGGAAAAGCCCAAGCCUGAAAUCCUAUGAGUCGCCUGUUUCUUCCUCGGAGGGGAUAGGUCGUCUGCUUGUGGGAGUUGUGGCCUCACGACGUGCCCGAGAUCCAGUGCAGUCUCAACGGUUCCAAGUCACCUGGAAAGGUGCUGACACAGAGGGUGAAAUCCCCGUGGGGACCGACUCCGAAAGGGGGAUGAGCGAGUCACUUUUGGAUCAACAAAGGGUCACAGUCGCAGAGUCGGGCUGCUUGAGAGUGCAGCCUGAAUGCGGGUGGUAUACUCCACCCAAGGCUAAAUACACGGUGGGAGACCGAUAGCGCACAAGUACCGCGAGGGAAAGAUGCAAAGAACUCUGAAUAGAGAGUGAAAAGAACUUGAAGUUGUUGGAAGAGAAGCGAUUGCGGACUGCGGAGAGCGAUGAUCGGGCAGGGGUCUCUCGAAUUUAUUUGAGAAACACUGGUGGGAAAGCGGAAACGCCUUCUCUCACCCUGCCUCAGUUAGGUCAUCCAGCCGGUAUCAGUUAGAGGGGUACGAUACUCCCCGGGGGUUUGCCGCCACCGACGCUGCCGCGAGGCAGUGGAACAGGAUGGUGAGCGGGCCCUCGGAGUGGGCGGCGUGGUCCCUUUGACUGAGGUAAUUCGAUGCACCUUCUCCCCAACUCUCCUCCGGGAGGGUGCAAGGAGAAAGGGCGGGAGGCGAAUUACUGUUCUGGCAAGAGGUGGAGAGAGGUUGUUGCUGUUCUCGGGUGAAACCGGGAGCGUGCGCAGCCUGUCUCUAUCAUUUGUUGGGAUAGGAAUUUGUCCACCAGCUCAAAGGCCAAGGUGCGGAGGAUACCGGUCAGGCAAGGACGCAAUCGUCCCGUCUUGAAACACGGACCAAGGAGUUCGACAUGCAUGCGAGCGUAUGGGUGUGAAAAACCCGGACGCGAAACCAACGUGAACACCUGAGACUCGGUGGGUAAAACUGCUGACGCAUCAGGGACCUGCUCAGAGGGACGGUGUGCGGGGGACUCAGUGAGGAAACUCGCUGGGAACCACAAAACCGCAUAUCGCACCGAGAUGAGCCAGAGUCAGAGUAUGCAUGUUGAGACCCGAAAGAUGAUGAACUAUGCCCGGGGAGGAUAAAGCCAGGGGAAACCCUGGUGGAAGUCCGCAGCGAUACUGACGUGCAAAUCGUUCGUCAGACCUGGGUAUAGGGGCGAAAGACCCAUCGAAUCAUCUAGUAGCUGGUUCCUUC